GUUCCCUUUGGUGAGCGAAGAGUUUACAUGGGGAGGACAGACCCCAAGGAGAGGCCAUGGCUGCAGCUGCUCUUGUCUGGCUGCCGACUGUAGUGAGGAUGAACUUAGAGGGUCUGGGUCUCUACCUUCAGCCACCAUAACAUGUGCAUAUCACCAGGCAGCACCCCACGGAAGAGAAGUAUUUAGCAGGGACUCCCUACACUUGGCAAAAGGACAGCCAGGAGCCUAAGGGAAAGUACACUGCCAACUGAGGAGGCAUUGCCUGGGUCAGAGGCCCUGCCAGGGAUUCUUAAGGGUACCAACACCAGUCCACUGUUUCCUGGACCGGUAGGACUGUCUUGCUCCUUAGCUCUGCUCUCUUCCACAGAACCCUGUGAUUGUUAGUGCCCUGUGUCAACUUAAUUGGUUCACGGAGCACCCGGAUAUUUGGUUAAACAUUAUUUCUAGGUAUAUCUGCAGGGGGAUUUGGGAAAGAGAUUUGCAUUUGAACAGAUGGACCAAAUAAAGCAAAUUAACUUUCCCACUGUGAGUGAGCACCAUCUAGUGUUGAGGUCUUGGGUAGAACAAGAAGCAAGGGAAGAGAGAGUUUACUGUCUGAUUGCUGAACUAAGGCGUCUGUCUUCUGUGCUAGGACUGGCAGUUACACCACUGCCCCUCCUGAUUCUCAGGCCUUUGUACUCAGACUAAAUGACACCACUGGCUUGCCUGGGUCUCCGUCCUUCAGAUGGCAGAUUGUGGGACGGCUUGGCCUCUGGAAUUGCAUGAACCAAUUCCUGAUCAUAAAUUUAGGUGUAUUUUGUCCCAGCAAUGAGGAAGUGACAACAAAGGACAUUCUUCCGUAUGCUACAACAUGGAUGAACCUUGAGGAUAUUAUCCUAAAGGAAACAAGUCAUUCACAAAAAGACAUAACUAUGACUCCACAUAUAUAAGGAAGCUCAUCUGGUCCCAGCACCAAGAAGGAAGCUCCCCGCCUCCAUCCCAGGCUCCUAGGAGAGGGAAGCUGAGCCGAUCCCAGCACCCAGAAGGAAGCCCCACCACCACCAUUCCAAGCUCUGGGCAGAGAAGCUAAGCCAGUCCCAGCACCCAAAAGGAAGCUCCCCUGCUGCCAUCCCAAGCUCCUAGGGCAGAGAAAGUGAGCCGUGUGGGCACUAGAAGCACCCCCCACUCCGUGGAAAUGAGAAGACACAUAAACAAGCCUCAAAAACAGACUUCUGGAUCACCUACAGCAACACCAAAGGGAAACAAGAUGGAACACUGUGAUACUCAACUACCUGGAUUUUCUGAACUGGCAACAAAAGAGGAUCUGGGAAAAAUGAAAUCGGAAAUAAUUACUCAGAUAACAGCUAAGAUUUUGCUCAUGGUACAAGACAUGAUUAAUAAAUCUAGAGAGGACACAGAUAAAAAAAUAGAGGAUCUGAGGAAUAUGAUGGAAUCCCAACAUAGUAAACAAAUGGAAUCCAUAAAACAGAU
RNAcentral lists this long non-coding RNA (1470 nucleotides) under Heterocephalus glaber (naked mole-rat). RNAcentral describes it as "lncRNA (ENSHGLG00100032911.1)". The record is from RNAcentral. Lineage: Eukaryota; Metazoa; Chordata; Mammalia; Rodentia; Bathyergidae.